RNAcentral lists this ribosomal RNA (494 nucleotides) under uncultured bacterium. RNAcentral's name for it is "partial 16S ribosomal RNA". It matches the Rfam family "Bacterial small subunit ribosomal RNA", at positions 28 to 506 of the family's 1533-position model. The record is from RNAcentral.
GAUGAACGCUGGCGGCGUGCCUAAUACAUGCAAGUCGAGCGAACAGACGAGGAGCUUGCUCCUCUGACGUUAGCGGCGGACGGGUGAGUAACACGUGGAUAACCUACCUAUAAGACUGGGAUAACUUCGGGAAACCGGAGCUAAUACCGGAUAACAUGUUGAACCGCAUGGUUCAACAGUGAAAGACGGUCUUGCUGUCACUUAUAGAUGGAUCCGCGCCGCAUUAGCUAGUUGGUAAGGUAACGGCUUACCAAGGCAACGAUGCGUAGCCGACCUGAGAGGGUAUCGGCACACUGGAACUGAGACACGGUCCAGACUCCUACGGGAGGCAGCAGUAGGGAAUCUUCCGCAAUGGGCGAAAGCCUGACGGAGCAACGCCGCGGGAGUGAAGAAGGUCUUCGGAUCGUAAAACUCUGUUAUUAGGGAAGAACAAAUGUGUAAGUAACUAUGCACGUCUUGACGGUACCUAAUCAGAAAGCCACGGCUAACUACGU